RNAcentral lists this ribosomal RNA (2214 nucleotides) under Heterophryidae sp. 2 VVZ-2016. RNAcentral's name for it is "partial 18S ribosomal RNA". It matches the Rfam family "Eukaryotic small subunit ribosomal RNA", at positions 25 to 1610 of the family's 1831-position model. The record is from RNAcentral. Lineage: Eukaryota; Centroplasthelida; Pterocystida; Heterophryidae.
CAUAUGCUUGUCUCAAAGAUUAAGCCAUGCAUGUCUAAGAAUAAGUCCUCAGAAUGACUAGUCUGCGAAUGGCUCAUUAAAUCAGUUAUUGUUUAUUUGAUGUGUGUAAAGGUGUAUUUAUACACUUUUACUAUUGGAUAACCGUAGUAAUUCUAGAGCUAAUACAUAUAAACCGAAGCCUUUGGAUUGAUGUCAAAGUCUGUCCAGUGGCUGCAUUUAUCAGAUUUUAAAACCGAUUGACUUUUUGGACUUGUCCAGAAAGUGUUUAUAUGGUGAUUCAUGAUAACUUAGCAAAUCGAAGUUAAAGAAAUUUGGAAAGGGCUUCACGGUCUUUUUCAGGUUUUUUCGAUGCUUCAUUCAAAUUUCUGCCCUAUCAGCUUUCGAUGGUAGGAUAUUGGCCUACCAUGGCGAUAACGGGUAACGGGGAAUCAGGGUUCGAUUCCGGAGAGGGAGCUUGAGAAAUGGCUACCACAUCCAAGGAUGGCAGCAGGCGCGCAAAUUACCCAAUCCCAAUACGGGGAGGUAGUGACAAUAAAUAACAAUGUUGGAAUAUUUUAAAAAUUCCAACAAUUGGAAUGAGAGUAAUUUAGACCUCUUCUCGAGGAACCAUUGGAGGGCAAGUCUGGUGCCAGCAGCCGCGGUAAUUCCAGCUCCAAUAGCGUAUGUUAAAGUUGUUGCAGUUAAAAAGCUCGUAGUCCAAAUUGCAAAGUCUUUAUGGAAAUGGUGUCUCUUUCCUUUAUGUGAUUUGGUUUUUUCUUUUUUCUGUUUUUUGGCUUCUUGUCAAAAUUCUAGGAAGGGAUUAAACCCCAUAAUUGAAUUUAGACAUCCCAACUUUGCUUGUACUUUGGAAAACUUUUAUUCACAGUGUAUUUUUUUAAAUACAUUGUUGGGUAAAAUUUAGUGUUCCAAUUGUUUACUUUGAGAAAACUAGAGUGUUCAAAGCAGGCGAAAUUAAAAUUUCUCUCGCAACUGAAUAAAUUAGCAUGGGAUAAUAGAAUAGGACAUUUAUGGGAAGAAGAUUUCUUUCACUUUUCCUUUUUGGGAUUGUGUUAAAUGAGCUUCUUCUUUGGUCCUAUUAUGUUUUUGAUCGGUGGUUCAAGGACCAAUGUAAUGAUUAAUAGGAACGGUUGGGGACAUUCAUAUUGCAUGGCUAGAGGUGAAAUUCUUGGAUUCAUGCAAGAUGAACUGCUGCGAAAGCGUUUGUCAAAGACGUUUUCAUUGAUCAAGAACGAAAGUUAGGGGAGCAAAGACGAUCAGAUACCGUCGUAGUCCUAACUAUAAACGAUGCCGACUAGGGAUCGGUGGGCGUUAAUAUAAAAUUGUCUUGAGAUUAUCAUUAACUUUAAAAAUUGAUUUUUUUAUCGUUCUUGAUGUUUCUUGACAAGAAAUGACCCCAUCGGCACCUCAAUUUGAUACUUCUCAAUGGGAAACCAAAGUUUUUGGGUUCCGGGGGGAGUAUGGUCGCAAGGCUGAAACUUAAAGGAAUUGACGGAAGGGCACCACCAGGAGUGGAGUUUGCGGCUUAAUUUGACUCAACACGGGAAAACUCACCAGGCCCAGACAUGGUAAGGAUUGACAGAUUGAGAGCUCUUUCUUGAUUCCAUGAAAGGUGGCGCAUGGCCGUUCUUAGUUGGUGGAGUGAUUUGUCUGGUUAAUUCCGUUAACGAACGAGACCUUGGCCUGCUAACUAGGGGGGGUUAUCGUUUGGGCAGGUUUAGUAGAGGGUUGGCUCAUUGUGUUCUAUUUUCGGAUAGGAUGCUUUGGUUAGCUUUUUUGCUACCUGUUCAUAUUUUGCGAUAGCACCUAAGAUUUAAAAAAUCUUUCAACCCUUUUUUGGUCUUAAGGGAAGAGAGUUAUUCUUUUUUUACUUGCUUUACCGUGGGUGGAAAAAGGGUUUCUCAUCAAAAUCUUUCUUUUUGAUUGAAGAAGGAAAAAUCCUUCUUAGAGGGACUAUCUGCGUUUUUACAACUAGCAGAUGGAAGCUCGAGGCAAUAACAGGUCUGUGAUGCCCUUAGAUGUCCUGGGCUGCACGCGUACUACACUGACGAAUUCAACAAGUGAUUUAAAUUUGAUUACGUUACUUGCCUUUUUUUCCUUCGGGAGGAGAGGGAGAGAGGAUGUUUUCAAAAACCUUGGCAGAAAUGUCUGGGUAAUCUCCUUAAAGUUCGUCGUGCUAGGGAUAGAUGAUUGUAAUUAUUCGUCUUCAACGAGGAA